UACAGAGGAUGCAAGCGUUAUCCGGAAUGAUUGGGCGUAAAGCGUCUGUAGGUGGCUUUUUAAGUCCGCCGUCAAAUCCCAGGGCUCAACUCUGGACAGGCGGUGGAAACUACCAAGCUGGAGUACGGUAGGGGCAGAGGGAAUUUCCGGUGGAGCGGUGAAAUGCGUAGAUAUCGGAAGGAACACCUGUGGCGAAAGCGGCUCACUGGACCAUUACUGACGCUGAUGCACGAAAGCUAGGGGAGCAAACAGG
Molecule: ribosomal RNA, 253 nt
Filed under: uncultured bacterium
Lineage: Bacteria
Description: partial 16S ribosomal RNA
Rfam family: Bacterial small subunit ribosomal RNA
Source: RNAcentral